Daphnia magna is the source of this 1157-nucleotide long non-coding RNA. RefSeq lists it as uncharacterized. The record is from RefSeq and is a predicted model, not a curated record. NCBI's taxonomy places the organism in Eukaryota, Metazoa, Arthropoda, Branchiopoda, Diplostraca, Daphniidae. The transcript has 3 exons.
UUGUUCUUGUCUUCUAGCAGAAGAAUUUCGUUGUCAUUGUGAGUUUGUUCUCGUUAGAAACGUAAAACUUGACAGGUUUCAUGAAGUGUUGCGUCUUAAACUGUGUAAUGCAACACGAACGGAGUAAAGUUUUCUCUUACUAACUGCGGAUACACUAUUAUUCUGGCGACAUGGCUGAUGGUGACAAUCAUGUUGUCAUCAGUGAACCUGUUAUUACAAUUUUUCAACUUAGUGAUUAUGCAAAAGGGUUGGUUGGGGUUAAAAAGGAGUUUUAUCUAGAAAAAUUAACAAAGUGUAAUAUAGACUGCCCGUAUUACAUUCCAAAGGAACAUUGGGUUUGUGAUCCAUCCAUCAUUGAAAAAAUAUCCCCACGCCAGCUGUCAGAACAUGACGUCUAUAUGUAUUUAAUUGCUAGAAGAAGUCAGGACACAGGACUUCAAUUAAAAGCCAUGAAAACUAUACAAACAGCCAAUUUCAUGGUAAGUAAUGGUUGGGUAAGUAAAUUGUGUGCUAUUAAACUUCGACAUGGGGCUGUCAUUUUUAAAGGAAAUGUACGACAUUCUAUGAGUUUCAACAGCAAGAAAGAUUUGUGUACAUGGGUAGCCAUCCAUGAAAAUGCUAGUGUUAUGGCUGGACACUGUACAUGCACUGUUGGGUAACUCUAACCUUAUAAAUAACAUAGUAUUUAAAACAUUGUUUUGGUUAACUAAUAACAUUGUAUGCAUUACAUUUUAACAGGUUAGGUGGAGUUUGUACACACUUUGGUGGUGUACUUUACAGUAUCAUGAAUCUUAUAACAACCCCUUGAACAUCCAAAGAAAAGUCUAGGAUUUGUUCAACCAAAACCUUACCUGUGAACUUAAGUACCAGUAUUGCAGAUUUAAAGUGUGCAACUACUAACAACAAAAGUCCAUUGACUGUUUUAAAAAGACAAAAAAAAUGAUGAAUAUACCAGAAAUGAAAGAAAAAGAAAUAGAUGAAUUGAAUCAGGUGUUACUGGAAAACCGGGCGGUGCAGCUUCAUGUAGUAAAUGCCUUUGCUGACUACUUUACUCCAAAACCAAUCCCAACUCGGUUGAGUUCAGUAUUUAACCCUUUAUUCAAAAACGGAAAAACGCUAACAGACAUUUUAGAGGAAUGCAACAGAUUGCUAAGGAC